RNAcentral lists this ribosomal RNA (253 nucleotides) under uncultured bacterium. RNAcentral's name for it is "partial 16S ribosomal RNA". It matches the Rfam family "Bacterial small subunit ribosomal RNA", at positions 524 to 776 of the family's 1533-position model. The record is from RNAcentral.
UACGGAGGGUGCAAGCGUUAUCCGGAAUCACUGGGUUUAAAGGGUGCGUAGGCGGCGCAAUAAGUCAGGGGUGAAAGGCCACAGCUCAACUGUGGGACUGCCUUUGAUACUGUAGUGCUUGAAUUAGGCUGAGGUCGGCGGAAUGUGACAUGUAGCGGUGAAAUGCUUAGAUAUGUCAUAGAACACCAAUUGCGAAGGCAGCUGACUAGACCUUAAUUGACGCUGAGGCACGAAAGCGUGGGGAGCGAACAGG